Long non-coding RNA from Ictalurus punctatus (channel catfish), 832 nucleotides. RefSeq lists it as uncharacterized. NCBI's taxonomy places the organism in Eukaryota, Metazoa, Chordata, Actinopteri, Siluriformes, Ictaluridae. The record is from RefSeq and is a predicted model, not a curated record. The transcript is spliced from 3 exons.
CUGUUCUGUGACUUUCCCGCCUUUCCCAUAAACAUCCCUCCCUCCUCCUUCUCGAAUGAGCCGGUCUUAUCAGCGGUAUGUGUAGAGCCGUGCUUUGUAUGUUCUGUGAGUGUGUACAAACGGGAAGGUAAAUAGUGCGUACUGUGGGGCUGUUAUGAACUAACCUGAGUAAGCUGUGGUGAUUUCUGGAACACUUUUCGACAUCAAGAGUGAAGCGUGUGAUCAGAUGGAUUUCAUCUCAAACGGAUCAUGAGGUGUUGCACGAACGUGUGGAGUCCGGUCCAGCUCGAGUGCAGACGGGUCAGGAGGAGUCCAGGGAACUCGGGGCACAAGACAGGGGACAUACCCCGUGGAAGUGGUGCCAAAACAUCGCAGGCCACCAUCGCACACCCAUUACAGACAAUUUGGAAAUACCAAUCGGACUCGGGGAGGAAACCGGAGCACCUGGAGGGAAUCCUCGAAGCACGGGGAGAACAUGCAAACUCCACGCACACAGAGCAGAGGCGGGAUUCAAACCCCCAACCCUGGAGGUGCGAGACAAACCCACUAAACUGGAAACAUGGGCUUGUCACUAAUGUCCAGUAACCACCGUGUGCAACCUCACACCGGUAAAUACUUCAGAUCCUACUAAAGGCCAGUGUGUAUUUUGAGUAGCCUAAGUAAUAGUCUUGGAGUGUGUUCGUCAAGUGGAAAGUCAGAGAAAGUCAGGCCGAGCUGCAACACUAAGUCUGUGAAAACUCUACACAUGAUGGCAUACUAUACUCUCAUGGGACGUGUGCAAUGACUCAGUUUCACGUUCUUCUUCAAACGUUCUUCGUCUCGGUUUCCUGUA